Oncorhynchus mykiss (rainbow trout) is the source of this 2176-nucleotide long non-coding RNA. The record is from Ensembl. NCBI's taxonomy places the organism in Eukaryota, Metazoa, Chordata, Actinopteri, Salmoniformes, Salmonidae.
AACAACUACCUCUUUCCCUACUGCAUUUUAUUUAUUUAUUUAUUUUGCUCCUUUGCACCCCAUUAUUUUUAUUUCUACUUUGCACAUUCUCCCAUUGCAAAUCUACCAUUCCAGUGUUUUACUUGCUAUAUUGUAUUUACUUUGCCACCAUGGCCUUUUUGCCUUUACCUCCCUUAUCUCACCUCAUUUGCUCACAUCGUAUAUAGACUUGUUUAUACUGUAUUAUUGACUGUAUGUUUGUUUUACUCCAUGUGUAACUCUGUGUCGUUGUAUGUGUCGAACUGCUAUGCUUUAUCUUGGCCAGGUCGCAGUUGUAAAUGAGAACUUGUUCUCAACUAGCCUACCUGGUUAAAUAAAGGUGAAAUAUAUAUUUUUUUUAAUUAUGGAACCCACAGACAGGUCAUAUAUCCUACCACAUUAUGGAACCCACAGACAGUUCAUAUAUCCUACCACAUUAUUGAACCCACAGACACACAGCAGGGUCAUAUAUCCUACCACAUUAUGGAACAGAAACACAGACAGCUCAUUUAUCUUACCACAUUAUGGAACAGACACACAGUUCAUAUAUCCUACUACAUUAUGGGACAGACACACAGUGGGGUCAUAUAUCCUACCACAUUAUGGAACACACAGACACACAGUAGGGUCAUAUAUCCUACCACAUUAUGGAACAGACACACAGCAGGGUCAUAUAUCCUACCACAUUAUUGAACCCACAGACAGUUCAUAUAUCCUACCACAUUAUGGAACAGACACACAGAGGGGUCAUAUAUCAUACCACAUUAUGGAACAGACACACAGACAGGUCAUAUAUCCUACCACAUUAUGGAACAGACACACAGAGGGGUCAUAUAUCAUACCACAUUAUGGAACAGACACACAGACAGGUCAUAUAUCCUACCACAUUAUGGAACAGACACACAGACAGGUCAUAUAUCCUACCACAUUAUGGAACCCACAGACACACAGACAGUUCAUCUAUCCUACCACAUUAUGGAACAGACACACAGCAGGGUCAUAUAUCCUACCACAUUAUGGAACAGACACACAGACAGUUCAUCUAUCCUACCACAUUAUGGAACAGACACACAGACAGUUCAUCUAUCCUACCACAUUAUGGAACAGACACACAGACAGGUCAUAUAUCCUACCACAUUAUGGAACAGACACACAGCAGGGUCAUAUAUCCUACCACAUUAUGGAACAGACACACAGACAGGUCAUAUAUUCUACCACAUUAUGGAACAGACACACAGACAGGUCAAUAUAUCAUACCACAUUAUGGAACAGACACACAGCAGGGUCAUAUAUCCUACCACAUUAUGGAACCCACAGACACACAGACAGUUCAUCUAUCCUACCACAUUAUGGAACAGACACACAGCAGGGUCAUAUAUCCUACCACAUUAUGGAACACACAGACACACAGCAGGGUCAUAUAUCCUACCACAUUAUGGAACCCACAGACACACAGACAGUUCAUCUAUCCUACCACAUUAUGGAACAGACACACAGCAGGGUCAUAUAUCCUACCACAUUAUGGAACACACAGACACACAGACAGUUCAUCUAUCCUACCACAUUAUGGAACAGACACACAGACAGUUCAUAUAUCCUACCACAUUAUGGAACACACAGACACACAGACAGGUCAUAUAUCCUACCACAUUAUGGAACAGACACACAGCAGGGUCAUAUAUCCUGCCACAUUAUGGAACACACAGACACACAGUAGGGUCAUAUAUCCUACCACAUUAUGGAACAGACACACAGACAGGUCAUAUAUCCUACCACAUUAUGGAACACACAGACACACAGCAGGGUCAUAUAUCCUACCACAUUAUGGAACAGACACACAGCAGGGUCAUAUAUCCUACCACAUUAUGGAACAGACACACAGACAGUUCAUAUAUCCUACCACAUUAUGGAACAGACACACAGCAUGGUCAUAUAUCCUACCACAUUAUGGAACAGACACACAGACAGGUCAUAUAUCCUACCACAUUAUGGAACAGACACACAGCAGGAUCAGCCAGGAGGGGUGUAUGAUGUCUAAAAGCGUUGUGAUUAUUUAGAGAGCGUCGCCAUAGUGACAUGAUGUGCUGGAUUCAGCACUAUAGACAGACUCCCCAGUGUUAUAAAUAUCUAAUGGUUUCUAAUGGAGUUCCUGCUGUGA